RNAcentral lists this ribosomal RNA (1372 nucleotides) under uncultured bacterium. RNAcentral's name for it is "bacterial SSU rRNA". It matches the Rfam family "Bacterial small subunit ribosomal RNA", at positions 28 to 1381 of the family's 1533-position model. The record is from RNAcentral.
GAUGAACGCUGGCGGCGUGCCUAAUACAUGCAAGUCGAGCGAACGGACGAGAAGCUUGCUUCUCUGAUGUUAGCGGCGGACGGGUGAGUAACACGUGGAUAACCUACCUAUAAGACUGGGAUAACUUCGGGAAACCGGAGCUAAUACCGGAUAAUAUUUUGAACCGCAUGGUUCAAAAGUGAAAGACGGUCUUGCUGUCACUUAUAGAUGGAUCCGCGCUGCAUUAGCUAGUUGGUAAGGUAACGGCUUACCAAGGCAACGAUGCAUAGCCGACCUGAGAGGGUGAUCGGCCACACUGGAACUGAGACACGGCCCAGACUCCUACGGGAGGCAGCAGUAGGGAAUCUUCCGCAAUGGGCGAAAGCCUGACGGAGCAACGCCGCGUGAGUGAUGAAGGUCUUCGGAUCGUAAAACUCUGUUAUUAGGGAAGAACAUAUGUGUAAGUAACUGUGCACAUCUUGACGGUACCUAAUCAGAAAGCCACGGCUAACUACGUGCCAGCAGCCGCGGUAAUACGUAGGUGGCAAGCGUUAUCCGGAAUUAUUGGGCGUAAAGCGCGCGUAGGCGGUUUUUUAAGUCUGAUGUGAAAGCCCACGGCCCAACCGUGGAGGGUCAUUGGAAACUGGAAAACUUGAGUGCAGAAGAGGAAAGUGGAAUUCCAUGUGUAGCGGUGAAAUGCGCAGAGAUAUGGAGGAACACCAGUGGCGAAGGCGACUUUCUGGUCUGUAACUGACGCUGAUGUGCGAAAGCGUGGGGAUCAAACAGGAUUAGAUACCCUGGUAGUCCACGCCGUAAACGAUGAGUGCUAAGUGUUAGGGGGUUUCCGCCCCUUAGUGCUGCAGCUAACGCAUUAAGCACUCCGCCUGGGGAGUACGACCGCAAGGUUGAAACUCAAAGGAAUUGACGGGGACCCGCACAAGCGGUGGAGCAUGUGGUUUAAUUCGAAGCAACGCGAAGAACCUUACCAAAUCUUGACAUCCUUUGACAACUCUAGAGAUAGAGCCUUCCCCUUCGGGGGACAAAGUGACAGGUGGUGCAUGGUUGUCGUCAGCUCGUGUCGUGAGAUGUUGGGUUAAGUCCCGCAACGAGCGCAACCCUUAAGCUUAGUUGCCAUCAUUAAGUUGGGCACUCUAAGUUGACUGCCGGUGACAAACCGGAGGAAGGUGGGGAUGACGUCAAAUCAUCAUGCCCCUUAUGAUUUGGGCUACACACGUGCUACAAUGGACAAUACAAAGGGCAGCGAAACCGCGAGGUCAAGCAAAUCCCAUAAAGUUGUUCUCAGUUCGGAUUGUAGUCUGCAACUCGACUACAUGAAGCUGGAAUCGCUAGUAAUCGUAGAUCAGCAUGCUACGGUGAAUACGUUCCCGGGUCU